CUGAGAAGGCGCUCAGGCACUGACCACUGGGACUCCUCAACACCAGCCCCGAAUCCACAGACUGGUGACUCUGGGCAGCUACUGGCCACAAGGAUAAGGCAUUGCUCUGUUGGAUGCUACCCCAGAUGGAUCUAGGAAGACAUAUGGCAUGGCUGCUGUCUCAUCAGUUAGGAAAUAGCUGAGCAAUCCCUGUGCUGCCCACUGAACGUGUCACCUUCCUGAUCAGGGGCUUCCUUUGUAAAUUAUGUAUCUUCAAACUUUGACAUAAACUUGGCUCUGGAACACCCAUUGUUUUUUC
This is a long non-coding RNA of Ochotona princeps (American pika), 298 nucleotides long. RefSeq lists it as uncharacterized. The transcript has 3 exons. The record is from RefSeq and is a predicted model, not a curated record. NCBI's taxonomy places the organism in Eukaryota, Metazoa, Chordata, Mammalia, Lagomorpha, Ochotonidae.